GACGAACGCUGGCGGCGUGCUUAACACAUGCAAGUCGAACGGAAAGGCCCUGCUUUUGUGGGGUGCUCGAGUGGCGAACGGGUGAGUAACACGUGAGUAACCUGCCCUUGACUUUGGGAUAACUUCAGGAAACUGGGGCUAAUACCGGAUAGGAGCUCCUGCUGCAUGGUGGGGGUUGGAAAGUUUCGGCGGUUGGGGAUGGACUCGCGGCUUAUCAGCUUGUUGGUGGGGUAGUGGCUUACCAAGGCUUUGACGGGUAGCCGGCCUGAGAGGGUGACCGGCAACAUUGGGACUGAGAUACGGCCCAGACUCCGAGGGGGGGCAGCAGGGGGGAAUAUUGCAAAAGGGGGGGAAGCCUGAGGCAGCAACGCCGCGUGGGGGAGGGCGGCCUUCGGGUUGUAAACCGCUUUCGCCUGUGACGAAGGGGGAGUGGCGGUAAUGGGUAAAGAAGCACCGGCUAACUACGU
This 467-nucleotide ribosomal RNA is filed under the name uncultured bacterium. Its description in RNAcentral is "partial 16S ribosomal RNA". It matches the Rfam family "Bacterial small subunit ribosomal RNA", at positions 28 to 506 of the family's 1533-position model. The record is from RNAcentral.